AACGAAUUUGAUUCUGGUUUUUUUUGUUAAGAUAUUAAAGAAUUAUACAUGUAAGUUAGUGAGCGCCCCGGUGAGGACCCGAGAGAGUUAGAUAAUAAAUUCAAAAUUUUCUUGUUAAUGAGUCGGAAGUGUUACUAUUUUAUUUAAAGUAGAAUGCCUGUUAAAUAGCGUCACACCUACAGUAUUAAAUAUUAAACUUUGCCUGAGAAGGUGAUUUAAUCAUAUAAUUAAGGUAAACUGACGGAGAUAUCGUGCCAGCAGUCGCGGUUAAACGAACAGUUUUUUUAACAUAAUAAGUAGCUUAAUACAAAUAUUCUUAAUAAAAAGAAAGGGAGAUAAAAAAAAAAGGUAGAAUUUAAUUCUUGUUGUCCUAAUUAAAAAUAAGAAGAGAUUGUGAAAAUAGGGGCCUAAACCUGGUUUUGAUAUCCAGUUAUUCCCUAAUAAUAAAGUUAAUGCUGGUAGUGUAAGAAGGAAAUCUUUGACAAACAAAGAACUUGGCGGUGAUUUAAUUCUGAUUAGGGGAGCUUGUCUGAAUAAAAUGAUAGUCCACAUUAUACCUAACCUUUUCUUGUUUGUUCAGCCUCUAUAUCAUCGUCAUUAAGUUUUCAUUGUGAACUAGAAGGCUAGUAAUUCCUAUAUAAAAGGACGGAUGUCAGAUCGAGACGGAGCCUAUGAGGAGGUGAGGAUGAGCUACAAUACCUAAUUGGUGAUAAGAAAUUAGAUAUGGAUAAGAUGAUGAAAUAAAUUAUUAAAAGAGGACUUGAUAGUAAUUUACUAGGAGAGAGAGUAUAUGAAGUAAGCUCUAAAUUGCGUACACAUCGCCCGUCACCUAUGGGGUUAACCUAUAGUAAGUCGUAACAAAGUAGGCGUACCGGAAGGUGCAGCCUGGCUGAUA
Molecule: non-coding RNA, 895 nt
Filed under: Ophioplinthus gelida
Lineage: Eukaryota; Metazoa; Echinodermata; Ophiuroidea; Amphilepidida; Ophiuridae
Source: RNAcentral